AGUGAACGCUGGCGGUAGGCCUAACACAUGCAAGUCGAACGGACGCACAGUAAGCGCUUGCUCCUACGGGUGGCGAGUGGCGGGCGGGUGAGGAAUAGAUAGGAAUCCACUUUUUCGUGGGGGAUAACGUAGGGAAGGUUAUGAUAAUACAUAAUACGACGUACGGGUGAAAGCAGGGGAUAUUCGGACCUUGUGUGAUUGAAUGAGCCGAAGUCGGAUUAGCUAGUUGGCGGGGUAAAGGCCCACCAAGGCAACGAUACGUAGCAGAUCUGAGAGGAUGAUCAGCCACACUGGAACUGAGACACGGUCCAGACUCCUACGGGAGGCAGCAGUAGGGAAUAUUGGGCAAUGGGCGCAAGCCUGACCCAGCCAUACCGCGUGAGUGAAGAAGGCCUUCGGAUUGUAAAGCCCUGUUAUUAGGAAAGAAAAUCAGCAUAUUAAUACCCCGCUGUUCUGACGGUACCCAAACAAUAAGCACCGGCUAACUUCGUG
Molecule: ribosomal RNA, 492 nt
Filed under: uncultured bacterium
Lineage: Bacteria
Description: partial 16S ribosomal RNA
Rfam family: Bacterial small subunit ribosomal RNA
Source: RNAcentral